CUUGUAGGUGGCUUCGUAAGUUGGACGUGAAAUCUCCGGGCUUAACUUGGAGACGCCGUUCAAUACUGCGAGGCUAGAGGAUGUCAGAGGGAAGUGGAAUUCCUGGUGUAGCAGUGAAAUGCGUAGAUAUCAGGAGGAACACCCGUGGCGAAGGCGGCUUCCUGGGGCAUCCCUGACACUGAGAAGCGAAAGCUAGGGGAGCAAACGGGAUUAGAAACCCCGGUAGUCCUAGCUGUAAACGAUGGAUGCUAGGUGUUGGCAGAUCUAACCCUGCCUGUGCCGAAGCUAACGCGUUAAGCAUCCCGCCUGGGAACUACGAGCGCAAGCUUAAA
RNAcentral lists this ribosomal RNA (332 nucleotides) under uncultured bacterium. Its description in RNAcentral is "bacterial SSU rRNA". It matches the Rfam family "Bacterial small subunit ribosomal RNA", at positions 568 to 898 of the family's 1533-position model. The record is from RNAcentral.